CCUACGGGAGGCAGCAGUGGGGAAUAUUGGGCAAUGGGCGCAAGCCUGACGCAGCAACGCCGCGUGAAGGAAGAAGGCUUUCGGGUUGUAAACUUCUUUUGGCAGGGAAGAGAAGAAGACGGUACCUGACGAAUAAGCCACGGCUAACUACGUGCCAGCAGCCGCGGUAAUACGUAGGUGGCAAGCGUUGUCCGGAUUUACUGGGUGUAAAGGGCGUGUAGCCGGGUUGACAAGUCAGAUGUGAAAUCCUGCGGCUCAACCGCAGAACUGCAUUUGAAACUGUUGAUCUUGAGUACUGGAGAGGCAGGCGGAAUUCCUAGUGUAGCGGUGAAAUGCGUAGAUAUUAGGAGGAACACCAGUGGCGAAGGCGGUUUGCUGGACAGCAACUGACGUUGAGGCGCGAAAGCGUGGGGAGCAAACAGGAUUAGAUACCCUUGUAGUC
This 442-nucleotide ribosomal RNA is filed under the name uncultured bacterium. Its description in RNAcentral is "partial 16S ribosomal RNA". It matches the Rfam family "Bacterial small subunit ribosomal RNA", at positions 338 to 795 of the family's 1533-position model. The record is from RNAcentral.